UGGGGAAUAUUGGGCAAUGGGCGCAAGCCUGACCCAGCCAUGCCGCGUGAGUGAUGAAGGCCUUCGGGUCGUAAAGCUCUGUGGGGAGGGAGAAACCUCCUUGGCUAAUAUCCAAGGAAGCUGACGGUACCUCCUUAGCAAGCACCGGCUAACUCCGUGCCAGCAGCCGCGGUAAUACGGAGGGUGCAAACGUUGCUCGGAAUCAUUGGGCGUAAAGCGCACGUAGGCGGUUCGUUAAGUCGGAUGUGAAAGCCCUGGGCUCAACCCAGGAAGAGCAUUCGAAACUGGCGGACUAGAGUAUGGAAGAGGGUCGCGGAAUUCCCGGUGUAGAGGUGAAAUUCGUAGAUAUCGGGAGGAACACCAGUGGCGAAGGCGGCGACCUGGGCCAAUACUGACGCUGAUGUGCGAAAGCGUGGGGAGCAAACAGGAUUAGAUACCCUGGUAGGUCCACGCCGUAACGAUGGAUGCUAGGUGUUGCGGGUAUUGACCCCUGCAGCG
This 498-nucleotide ribosomal RNA is filed under the name uncultured Pseudomonadota bacterium. RNAcentral describes it as "bacterial SSU rRNA". It matches the Rfam family "Bacterial small subunit ribosomal RNA", at positions 355 to 845 of the family's 1533-position model. Lineage: Bacteria; Pseudomonadati; Pseudomonadota. The record is from RNAcentral.